Molecule: ribosomal RNA, 441 nt
Filed under: uncultured bacterium
Lineage: Bacteria
Description: partial 16S ribosomal RNA
Rfam family: Bacterial small subunit ribosomal RNA
Source: RNAcentral
CCUACGGGGGGCAGCAGUGGGGAAUAUUGCACAAUGGGGGAAACCCUGAUGCAGCAACGCCGCGUGAGUGAAGAAGUAUUUCGGUAUGUAAAGCUCUAUCAGCAGGGACGAAAAUGACAGUACCUGACUAAGAAGCCCCGGCUAACUACGUGACAGCAGCCGCGGUAAUACGUAGGGGGCAAGCGUUAUCCGGAUUUACUGGGUGUAAAGGGUGUGUAGGCGGUGUAGCAAGUUAGAAGUGAAAUACCUAGAGCUUAACUCAGGUGCUGCUUCUAAAACUGCUAUACUUGAGUGCAGUAGAGGAAAGUGGAAGUCCCAGUGUAGCGGUGGAAUGCGUAGAUAUUAGGAGGAACAUCAGUGGCGAAGGCGACUUUCUGGACUGUAACUGACGCUGAGGCACGAAAGUGUGGGGAGCAAACAGGAUUAGAUACCCCUGUAGUC